UACGAAGGGGGCUAGCGUUGUUCGGAUUAACUGGGCGUAAAGCGCGCGUAGGCGGGUUUGUAAGUCAGGGGUGAAAUCCCGAGGCUCAACCUCGGAACUGCCUUUGAUACUGCAAAUCUCGAGUCCGGAAGAGGUGAGUGGAAUUCCUAGUGUAGAGGUGAAAUUCGUAGAUAUUAGGAAGAACACCAGUGGCGAAGGCGGCUCACUGGUCCGGUACUGACGCUGAGGUGCGAAAGCGUGGGGAGCAAACAGG
RNAcentral lists this ribosomal RNA (253 nucleotides) under uncultured bacterium. RNAcentral describes it as "partial 16S ribosomal RNA". It matches the Rfam family "Bacterial small subunit ribosomal RNA", at positions 524 to 776 of the family's 1533-position model. The record is from RNAcentral.